UUUAGACACGUUUAAUAUCCCAGUCCAUGAAUAGGUCACACGGAGAACACAUAUACUAUACAAGUUAAAUAAUGCACAGUUUGACAUUACACAUGUUGUAGAGGACUAUGAAAAGCAAGUAGUCCCGGCAAGAGUUAUCUUUUGACUUCUCUUAUAUUGAGUUAUCUCUCUUUGGAUAUUGUUUCGUUAUGAACCGCCAUAUAUUUUGGUUACACGUUUUUCUGACCUCGUGUUCAAUAUCGCAAAUUGUGGCCCAUCACAGUCUUUUUACCAUCAACAUCAUUGUGUUAUCAUAAUAAAUUCAACUGAAACACUU
This is a long non-coding RNA of Ostrea edulis (European flat oyster), 316 nucleotides long. RefSeq lists it as uncharacterized. The transcript has 2 exons. The record is from RefSeq and is a predicted model, not a curated record. Lineage: Eukaryota; Metazoa; Mollusca; Bivalvia; Ostreida; Ostreidae.